This 253-nucleotide ribosomal RNA is filed under the name uncultured bacterium. Its description in RNAcentral is "partial 16S ribosomal RNA". It matches the Rfam family "Bacterial small subunit ribosomal RNA", at positions 524 to 776 of the family's 1533-position model. The record is from RNAcentral.
UACGUAGGGUGCAAGCGUUAAUCGGAAUUACUGGGCGUAAAGCGUGCGCAGGCGGUUGUGUAAGACAGAUGUGAAAUCCCCGGGCUCAACCUGGGAACUGCAUUUGUGACUGCACAGCUGGAGUGCGGCAGAGGGGGAUGGAAUUCCGCGUGUAGCAGUGAAAUGCGUAGAUAUGCGGAGGAACACCGAUGGCGAAGGCAAUCCCCUGGGCCUGUACUGACGCUCAUGCACGAAAGCGUGGGGGGCAAACAGG